Molecule: long non-coding RNA, 1035 nt
Filed under: Apteryx rowi (Okarito brown kiwi)
Lineage: Eukaryota; Metazoa; Chordata; Aves; Apterygiformes; Apterygidae
Description: lncRNA (ENSARWG00000009750.1)
Source: RNAcentral
CUGGUGAGGCCCCUCUCCGCACCCGGCUCCCCGGGGUUUUGCUGCAGGGGGUUUCCAGCAAAAGCUGCCCCAGAAAGUCGCUGAAAUGCCGGGGCUGAAACCUUGCUGCCCUCGGGGGCCAGAGGUUUGGGGGGAGCCAAAAGCUGGGUGGGAACGGGUGCAGGGGGGGGCGGGGGAUGGCCCCGGGGUCCCCACACCAGGCUGGAGCCGUCGCACCCUGCUCUUCCCUGCCAUCCGGGGGCUUCCCGAGCAUCCGCCCGCUCCGGGCCAUGCUGGCCGGCUGGUCCUAGCAGCGGGACCGUGCAGCGGGAGGCUCCGCUCCAGCCACAGCACCGGCUGUGUGCCAGGACGGCCGCCGACCCGGGCACCGCUGCUCCUGCUCCGCCUGGCGGUUUCCUCCUCCAGGCAUCGCCCAGCUGGAGCAGUGUGGGGUGCCGGGGUGAUUUUCCCAGUGCACGUGCACAUUGCACAGCGGCAGGACCGGGGCUCCGCGGUGCCACUGCCGGUGCCGCCCCGGGAGCAACGGCGAUUACACCCCGUCGCAGCAAGCAGCGUGGCAGCGCUGGGACCCACAGGGCGCCUCGCGUUGGCAUCGCGGCCCCUCUCCAGCAGCCCCCGCRGCUGCGUGCACGUGCAGCCCCGCGUGUGCGGCGCGAGCGGCAGCGCUGACCCGACGCCACGUCCUUGCCCCGCUCGCCAGCGUGCGCCGCUCCAGGAAGGCCACUUGUUCGGAAGGACGCACGCCUGUUACCGCGAGGUCGCGGCUCCUGCCGUGAAAACURGCUCUUUUGUUCCACUUGUUUUUUUUCCGAGCCACUUCCCUCCCUGCUUUGCUCCCCUCCGCGCAGGUGACGUUGGCGGCGCUUUGCAGGCGGUCAAGGAGAGCAUCCGCAGAGCGCGUUUGCGGAGGAGCUCUAAAGAUCGCUGCUUGCUUGACUCACCUGCAAGGUCGGCGCUGCGAGCACACAGCCCGGCGGCAGCCGUGGCCCCUCUGCGCUGCGCAGCGCGUCGUGCCGCCGGGCACGGAGACCCCGC